GACUCAACAGGUGGAUCACUCAGCUCGUGCGUCGAACGCAUCUAGCUGCGAGAAUUAAUGUGAAUUGCAAGGACACAUUGAUCAUUGACACUUUGAACGCACUUUCAACCGCGGGUUUCUCCUGGGGCUACGCUUGAGUGUCG
Molecule: ribosomal RNA, 143 nt
Filed under: Nomascus leucogenys (northern white-cheeked gibbon)
Lineage: Eukaryota; Metazoa; Chordata; Mammalia; Primates; Hylobatidae
Description: 5.8S ribosomal RNA (ENSNLEG00000019670.2)
Rfam family: 5.8S ribosomal RNA
About the family: 5.8S ribosomal RNA (5.8S rRNA) is a component of the large subunit of the eukaryotic ribosome. It is transcribed by RNA polymerase I as part of the 45S precursor that also contains 18S and 28S rRNA.
Source: Rfam by way of RNAcentral